This 269-nucleotide ribosomal RNA is filed under the name uncultured prokaryote. RNAcentral's name for it is "partial 16S ribosomal RNA". It matches the Rfam family "Archaeal small subunit ribosomal RNA", at positions 474 to 743 of the family's 1478-position model. The record is from RNAcentral.
UACCUGCAGCUCAAGUGGUGACCGCUAUUAUUGGGCCUAAAACGUUCGUAGCCGGUUUAUUAAAUGCCUGGGUAAAUCGUGUAGCUUAACUAUACGAAUUCCGGGUAGACUGGUAAACUUGAGACCGGGAGAAGCUAGAGGUACUCCUGGGGUAGAGGUGAAAUUCUGUAAUCCUAGGGGGACCACCAGUGGCGAAGGCGUCUAGCUAGAACGGGUCUGACGGUGAGGAACGAAGCCCUGGGGCGCAAACCGGAUUAGAUACCCGCGUA